AGAGUUUGAUCAUGGCUCAGAAUCAACGCUGGCGGCGUGCCUAACACAUGCAAGUCGCACGAGAAAGGGUAGCAAUACCUGAGUACAGUGGCGCACGGGUGAGUAACACGUGAAUCAUCUACCUUCGAGUGGGGAAUAACUGAGAGAAAUCUCAGCUAAUACCGCAUAAUACCUACGGGUCAAAGCAGCAAUGCGCUUGAAGAGGAGUUCGCGGCAGAUUAGUUAGUUGGCGGGGUAAUGGCCCACCAAGACGAUGAUCUGUAUCCGGCCUGAGAGGGCGCACGGACACACUGGAACUGAAACACGGUCCAGACUCCUACGGGAGGCAGCAGUGGGGAAUUUUGCGCAAUGGGGGAAACCCUGACGCAGCAACGCCGCGUGGAGGAUGAAAUCCCUUGGGAUGUAAACUCCUUUCGAUCGGGACGAUUAUGACGGUACCGGAAGAAGAAGCCCCGGCUAACUUCGUGCCAGCAGCCGCGGUAAUACGAGGGGGGCAAGCGUUGUUCGGAAUUAUUGGGCGUAAAGGGCGCGUAGGCGGUCUGACAAGUCUGAUGUGAAAUCUCUGGGCUCAACCCAGAGUCUGCAUUAGAAACUGUCGGGCUUGAGUAUGGGAGAGGUGAGUGGAAUUUCCGGUGUAGCGGUGAAAUGCGUAGAUAUCGGAAGGAACACCUGUGGCGAAAGCGGCUCACUGGACCAUAACUGACGCUGAGGCGCGAAAGCUAGGGGAGCAAACAGGAUUAGAUACCCUAGUAGUCC
RNAcentral lists this ribosomal RNA (756 nucleotides) under uncultured bacterium. RNAcentral describes it as "bacterial SSU rRNA". It matches the Rfam family "Bacterial small subunit ribosomal RNA", at positions 8 to 796 of the family's 1533-position model. The record is from RNAcentral.